This 1173-nucleotide long non-coding RNA is filed under the name Lathyrus oleraceus (garden pea). RNAcentral describes it as "Pisum sativum (pea) long non-coding RNA (PSAT_LNC041437)". The record is from RNAcentral. Lineage: Eukaryota; Viridiplantae; Streptophyta; Magnoliopsida; Fabales; Fabaceae.
UGCAAUCCAUGACCAUUUCUAUUAUCCAACCAUAAAAAGAGGAGAAACUAAAAAGAAAAAUAAUAAAAAAGGCCUCCUUUUCUUCUGCAGAAAAAAAGAAAACUUUUCAUCUUCUCAAGGAGGCGACACAUACCCUCUUCUUCACUGACCUCACAAACUUCCGCCAUUUCCUCUUCGCCUCGAUCUCCAUCUCACCGCGGACAACCACCUUGUUCUUCAUCCAAAACAACCCACCGUACUGGUCGUCCUCCGUCGUGUAUCUUUCUCUUCUGAUCCACACCCUCUUUCAACCUUUGAAUAAUGCCGUGAAACCUUAACACUUCCUCCAUUACCGGCGAAAUCCUCGAAUACUCUCCACUUCAACCCACCUCGCAACAACCAUCACCAACAUCCGCCGGAAAUCUCCACACAACGACCCUCCAUUUCAACUUCCGACGACCUCUCCAACAUCCGCCGACAACCUCCGCCAUCUCAACCGCCGGCAACGCUCCAACCACUUCCGGCGACGUCCACUCUAAGCGGCGCAAUCCCAAUCUAUAUUUACGUAAAUGUGGUUAUCUCUUCCUUUGUUUUCAAUUUUUUCUUUUUCUCAUUUUAAUAAAUAAAUUAUUAAUUGGUAUUAUAAUUUGAUUUGUUUUAAUACUGUAAGUUUAAUGAAGUAUCAUGAUAUAUAAAUUGGAUUUAUUUAUAACGUUGUUUUGUUUUAGGCUUAAUUAUAUGUUAAUGAGAUAUUGUUAGUAUUAUUUAGGGUUGGUUUUAUUAUGGUUGUAUUUAGUUUUAAAAAAUGGCUUUUAUUUUUAUUUUUAGGUUAAUAUAUUGGUGGAACAAAUUUUUCCAGGGAUUGCGUUACAGCUUUUCCUUAUUCUUUUUACUCCUAUUUUGGAUGAUCUGCCAUGUGUCCUAAGUUAAUUCCCAUGUGUAGCUGGAUAAAACAUAAUAAUGGAUGGUAGAAGUUUAAUAAUAAUGCUGAAGUAGUGCCAUUUUUUCUCGCCGAUUUUGCCGCAAGAUCAUUAGGCUAGGUAUGCUUCUCCGUUCAAAUUGAGAUUUGCUGUAUAAAUCCUAAUGUGUUGUUCAAAUUCACUUUAAAUUAUUCUUAUAUGUUAUUAUUAAUGUUUACAUGAUUAAGUUUCAUUUUCAUAAAUAUUUAUAUGAUGGGGUUUCACUUUUUAUAAA